ACAGGUUAGGCUGGGUGCUUUAAGGGGACUCACCGGUAUGAAGCCGGAGGAAGGUGGGGACGACGUCAGAGUCCUCAUGGCCCUUGCGUCUGGGGCGACACACGUGCUACAAUGGGCAGGACAGCGGGGAGCGACCUUGCGAGGGGGAGCGUAAUCCCGAAACCUGUUCUCAGUUCGGAUUGGAGUCUGCAACUCGACUUCAUGAAGUUGGAAUCGCUAGUAAUCGCGGAUCAGCAUGCCACGGUGAAUACGUUCCCGGGCCUUGUACACACCGCCCGUCACACCACGAAAGUUGAGUGUACCCGAAGUCGCUGGGCGAACCCUUUUUGGGGGCGCAGGUGCCGAAGGUAUGCUGAGCGAUUGGGGUGAAGUCGUAACAA
This 380-nucleotide ribosomal RNA is filed under the name uncultured bacterium. RNAcentral's name for it is "bacterial SSU rRNA". It matches the Rfam family "Bacterial small subunit ribosomal RNA", at positions 1121 to 1494 of the family's 1533-position model. The record is from RNAcentral.